This 270-nucleotide ribosomal RNA is filed under the name uncultured bacterium. RNAcentral describes it as "partial 16S ribosomal RNA". It matches the Rfam family "Bacterial small subunit ribosomal RNA", at positions 79 to 354 of the family's 1533-position model. The record is from RNAcentral.
UUUAUGCCGGCGACCGGCGCACGGGUGAGUAACACGUAUGCAACCUGCCCGUCUCAGGGGGAUAAUCGUCGGAAACGGCGUCUAAUACCCCGUAUGAAGCUGGACGGCAUCGUCUGGUUUUGAAAGAAUAUCGGAGACGGAUGGGGAUGCGUUCCAUUAGUUAGUUGGCGGGGUAACGGCCCACCAAGACAACGAUGGAUAGGGGUUCUGAGAGGAAGGUCCCCCACAUUGGAACUGAGACACGGUCCAAACUCCUACGGAAGGCAGCAG